AUGGACCGUCCAGUUCAGUUCAGUUCGUCACUGGCGCCACAAGUUCAGUUCGCCGCAGCCGGGAGCUCCUCCGGCCACUCACAGACGGCUCAAAGGCCUAUGUAUAACCAUCCACCAGAUGAUCCUGAUGAUACAGAUCAACAACAUGAUAGUGAUGCCAGAAACACUACAUAUCCAACAGAGUUAUACACACUUGAUGAAUUCCUAGCCGUGGAGGACAUGCUAGACUCCUUCGCCGAGGAGAUUGCUGUGGAGUUGAAGGGAACACUUGAGGCUCUUCAAGCAAGAUCACUUAGCAGGAGUGGUCCGAGGAUAUACGUGAGUAGACCGCGUGAAGAAGCACAUCAACAGCUUGUAUGA
This 360-nucleotide ribosomal RNA is filed under the name Triticum aestivum (bread wheat). RNAcentral describes it as "partial small subunit ribosomal RNA". Lineage: Eukaryota; Viridiplantae; Streptophyta; Magnoliopsida; Poales; Poaceae. The record is from RNAcentral.